UACGGAGGGUGCAAGCGUUAUCCGGAUUCACUGGGUUUAAAGGGUGUGUAGGCGGGCAUGUAAGUCCGAGGUGAAAUCUCCGAGCUCAACUUGGAAACUGCCUUGGAUACUAUAUGUCUUGAAUAUCGUUGAGGUAGGCGGAAUAUGUCAUGUAGCGGUGAAAUGCUUAGAUAUGACAUAGAACACCGAUUGCGAAGGCAGCUUGCUAAACGAUUAUUGACGCUGAGGCACGAAAGCGUGGGGAUCAAACAGGAUUAGAUACCCUGGUAGUCCACGCCCUAAACGAUGAUUACUCGACAUACGCGAUAUACAGUGUGUGUCUGAGCGAAAGCAUUAAGUAAUCCACCUGGGAAGUACGUCCGCAAGGAUG
Molecule: ribosomal RNA, 370 nt
Filed under: uncultured prokaryote
Description: bacterial SSU rRNA
Rfam family: Bacterial small subunit ribosomal RNA
Source: RNAcentral